CAGCCUUCCAAGCUGAGGGUCGCGGGUUCGAGUCCCGUCUCCCGCU
This 46-nucleotide transfer RNA is filed under the name Gemmatimonadota bacterium. RNAcentral describes it as "Gemmatimonadetes bacterium (marine metagenome) tRNA-Ser". It matches the Rfam family "tRNA", at positions 27 to 71 of the family's 71-position model. Rfam says of the family: Transfer RNA (tRNA) molecules are approximately 80 nucleotides in length. Their secondary structure includes four short double-helical elements and three loops (D, anti-codon, and T loops). Further hydrogen bonds mediate the characteristic L-shaped molecular structure. tRNAs have two regions of fundamental functional importance: the anti-codon, which is responsible for specific mRNA codon recognition, and the 3' end, to which the tRNAs corresponding amino acid is attached (by aminoacyl-tRNA synthetases). tRNAs cope with the degeneracy of the genetic code in two manners: having more than one tRNA (with a specific anti-codon) for a particular amino acid; and 'wobble' base-pairing, i.e. permitting non-standard base-pairing at the 3rd anti-codon position. Lineage: Bacteria; Pseudomonadati; Gemmatimonadota. The record is from RNAcentral.